AACGAACGCUGGCGGCGCGUCUUAAGCAUGCAAGUCGAACGGCAAGAUUGGUGCUUGCACCGAUCCUAGAGUGGCGGACUGGUGAGUAACGCGUGGGUGACGUACCCUAAGGAUGGGGAUAGCUGGUAGAAAUAUCAGAUAAUACCGAAUAUCCUUAUUGUUGUUAGAGGACAGUAAGGAAAGGAGCUUUGGCUUCGCCUAAGGAUCGGCCCGCGUACUAUUAGCUAGUUGGUGAGGUAACGGCUCACCAAGGCGACGAUAGUUAUCCGGCCUAAGAGGGUGAACGGACACAUUGGGACUGAGAUACGGCCCAG
This 314-nucleotide ribosomal RNA is filed under the name uncultured bacterium. RNAcentral's name for it is "bacterial SSU rRNA". It matches the Rfam family "Bacterial small subunit ribosomal RNA", at positions 29 to 334 of the family's 1533-position model. The record is from RNAcentral.